This 913-nucleotide ribosomal RNA is filed under the name uncultured Bacteroidota bacterium. RNAcentral's name for it is "bacterial SSU rRNA". It matches the Rfam family "Bacterial small subunit ribosomal RNA", at positions 9 to 920 of the family's 1533-position model. The record is from RNAcentral. Lineage: Bacteria; Pseudomonadati; Bacteroidota.
GAGUUUGAUCAUGGCUCAGGAUGAACGCUAGCGGCAGGCUUAACACAUGCAGUCGAGGGGCAGCAUUGGUACUUGUAUCAGAUGGCGACCGGCGCACGGGUGCGUAACGCGUAUAGAACCUACCUUAUAAUAAGGGAUAGCCCAGAGAAAUUUGGAUUAAUACCUUAUAGUAUCAUUAUGCGGCAUUGCAUUAUGAUUAAAGAUUUAUCGUUAUAAGAUGGCUAUGCGUUCUAUUAGCUAGUUGGUAUGGUAACGGCAUACCAAGGCUACGAUAGAUAGGGGUCCUGAGAGGGAGAUCCCCCACACUGGUACUGAGACACGGACCAGACUCCUACGGGAGGCAGCAGUGAGGAAUAUUGGACAAUGGAGGCAACUCUGAUCCAGCCAUGCCGCGUGUAGGAAGACUGCCCUAUGGGUUGUAAACUACUUUUAUAGAGGAAGAAACGACAUUACGUGUAAUGUUUUGACGGUACUCUACGAAUAAGGAUCGGCUAACUCCGUGCCAGCAGCCGCGGUAAUACGGAGGAUCCAAGCGUUAUCCGGAAUCAUUGGGUUUAAAGGGUCCGUAGGCGGUUUGGUAAGUCAGUGGUGAAAGUUUUCGGCUCAACCGGAAAAUUGCCAUUGAUACUGCUAGACUUGAAUUAUUGUGAAGUGGUUAGAAUGUGUAGUGUAGCGGUGAAAUGCAUAGAUAUUACACAGAAUACCGAUUGCGAAGGCAGAUCACUAACAAUAUAUUGACGCUAAGGGACGAAAGCGUGGGUAGCGAACAGGAUUAGAUACCCUGGUAGUCCACGCCGUAAACGAUGGUUACUAGCUGUUCGGACUUCGGUCUGAGUGGCUAAGCGAAAGUGAUAAGUAACCCACCUGGGGGAGUACGUUCGCAAGAAUGAAACUCAAAGGAAUUGACGGGGGG